UAAAGAAGUACAGUGUGGGUUUGCAUCAACCAGGAAAAUUAUAUCUCCUCUUCAUAUACCAUCGAAAUUUCUUAUUGAAUCUUUUCAUCAGGGACCUUGGAUACCUCAAAAAUGGUGCUACAAGACAAGAUAGUCUAGGAAAGGAACUGAUUGCUGCGCUCACCUGUGACCACCCAGCUCAAGACAAUAGACUUGCCUCCUGCUACGCCCGCCAAGAUAGCAGACCCACAACCUGCUGUGUCCAUCAAGCGCUGUGCUGACAGGGCAAUCUUGUGAGUAUUGUGGGAGGGACAUUUCAAUCACAUGUGAAACACCUUGUUUGGGGGUAUAUAACCACUCUGUGCACCCCACUUCUUUGGUGCCCUUUCUUCCUUUGGGAAGAAGGGCCCCGGGCCAUGGUCCUCAUAAAGCUUUCUUUAAUUUUCUCCUGCUAUUCUGUCUCAUGUGAAUUUAAUUCAUUCUCCG
Molecule: long non-coding RNA, 465 nt
Filed under: Equus caballus (horse)
Lineage: Eukaryota; Metazoa; Chordata; Mammalia; Perissodactyla; Equidae
Description: lncRNA (ENSECAG00000057894.1)
Source: RNAcentral